Molecule: ribosomal RNA, 510 nt
Filed under: uncultured bacterium
Lineage: Bacteria
Description: partial 16S ribosomal RNA
Rfam family: Bacterial small subunit ribosomal RNA
Source: RNAcentral
GACGAACGCUGGCGGCGUGCUUAACACAUGCAAGUCGAACGAAGAGCGAUGGAAGCUUGCUUCUAUCAAUCUUAGUGGCGAACGGGUGAGUAACGCGUAAUCAACCUGCCCUUCAGAGGGGGACAACAGUUGGAAACGACUGCUAAUACCGCAUACGAUCUAAUCUCGGCAUCGAGGAUAGCUGAAAGGUGGCCUCUACAUGUAAGCUCUCACUGAAGGAGGGGAUUGCGUCUGAUUAGCUAGUUGGAGGGGUAACGGCCCACCAAGGCGAUGAUCAGUAGCCGGUCUGAGAGGAUGAACGGCCACAGUGGGACUGAGACACGGCCCAGACUCCUACGGGAGGCAGCAGUGGGGAAUCUUCCGAAAUGGACGAAAGUCUGACGGAGCAACGCCGCGUGAGUGAUGACGGCCUUCGGGUUGUAAAGCUCUGUUAAUCGGGACGAAAGGCCUUCUUGCGAAUAGUGAGAAGGAUUGACGGUACCGGAAUAGAAAGCCACGGCUAUCUACGUG